AGCAGGAAAGCAGGGACGCAAGGCCUUGCGCUCUUUGAGCGGUCCGAUGUCAGAUUAGCUAGUUGGUGAGGUAAAGGCUUACCAAGGCGACGAUCUGUAGCGGGUCUGAGAGGAUGAUCCGCCACACUGGAACUGAGACACGGUCCAGACUCCUACGGGAGGCAGCAGUGGGAAUUUUGGACAAUGGGGGCAACCCUGAUCCAGCCAUGCCGCGUGAGUGAAGAAGGCCUUCGGGUUGUAAAGCUCUUUCGGCCGGGAAGAAAUCGCAUGGGCCAAUACCCUGUGUGGAUGACGGUACCGGAAUAAGAAGCACCGGCUAACUACGUG
This 327-nucleotide ribosomal RNA is filed under the name uncultured bacterium. RNAcentral's name for it is "bacterial SSU rRNA". It matches the Rfam family "Bacterial small subunit ribosomal RNA", at positions 197 to 507 of the family's 1533-position model. The record is from RNAcentral.